RNAcentral lists this small RNA (1237 nucleotides) under Pongo abelii (Sumatran orangutan). RNAcentral describes it as "retained intron". The record is from RNAcentral. Lineage: Eukaryota; Metazoa; Chordata; Mammalia; Primates; Hominidae.
UUUGGGAGAGGGGGAGAGGGGACUAGGAGAAAGUACCCAGAAAGGACAAGUGACACCCUCAAGCCGGGCCUUCCUGACCUCACAUGACAUGCCUUAGUGAACUGCUGCCUCUCCGUGAAGGAUGAGUCGGGGAGGGGCUCACAGGCCAGGAGGACAGUGCCUGAGCCCCUGGUCUCUGCCUCCAGUUCUGCAGGAAUUCUCCAAGGAGGAGCGAGACCCAGUGAAAACUCAUGAAGGCUGGGGGGUGAUGUUGCCCUGUAACCCACCUGCCCACUACCCAGGCUUGUCUUACCGCUGGCUCCUCAACGAGUUCCCCAACUUCAUCCCGACGGACGGGCGUCACUUCGUGUCCCAGGCCACAGGGAACCUGUACAUUGCCCGAACCAAUGCCUCAGACCUGGGCAACUACUCCUGUUUGGCCACCAGCCACAUGGACUUCUCCACCAAGAGCGUCUUCAGCAAGUUUGCUCAGCUCAACCUAGCUGCUGAAGAUACCCGGCUCUUUGCACCCAGCAUCAAGGCCCGGUUCCCAGCAGAGACCUAUGCACUGGUGGGGCAGCAGGUCACCCUGGAGUGCUUCGCCUUUGGGAACCCUGUCCCCCGGAUCAAGUGGCGCAAAGUGGACGGCUCCCUGUCCCCGCAGUGGACCACAGCUGAGCCCACCCUGCAGAUCCCCAGCGUCAGCUUUGAGGAUGAGGGCACCUACGAGUGUGAAGCGGAGAACUCCAAGGGCCGAGACACCGUGCAGGGUCGCAUCAUAGUGCAGGCUCAGCCUGAGUGGCUAAAAGUGAUCUCGGACACAGAGGCUGACAUUGGCUCCAACCUGCGUUGGGGCUGUGCAGCUGCCGGCAAACCCCGGCCUACAGUGCGCUGGCUGCGGAACGGGGAGCCUCUGGCCUCCCAGGUAGGAGACAUGGGGCUUCCUCCCACACAUCACAACUGUCCUCUGCUCACUUGGUUCCCUCACCCCCUAGAACUUCCCCUGCACCACCAGUAGCCCCUCUGGGUUAAUUAGGGUGUCACAGGGUGGUCCUAGGACCACCUGAGGACUUCUUCCCAUCCCAGUCCCAUUGCCACAGGCUGGGCCUGGAUCCAGGCACAGUUCAGCCACAAAAGAAGUGAUGUGGUCCUGACUGGGUCACCUCACCCUUCCAGCUUUGGGGAGGCCUGGGUAAUCUGCAUCCUGAGGUUCCAGGUGGCCCUGAGGUAGGACUCGACAUACGAGCCAUAUCCUCUA